GUGGUAGGUGCAUCGAACCAUCCGAUCAAUGGUCAGUUUUGAUAUAGCCAUGUGUCAAAAUUUGGGACAAUCUUGAUCUGAACAAAUCCAUCCUGACCGUUGAUGGGUUCUACAUAUGUAAUGUCGCUUUCAUUUAGAUUUUCUAUUUCUUUACUUGUCAUUUUUCUGCAAUCAAGGGCUUUUCUUUGGAUGUCAAGAGCUUCAAGGGUCUAUGAG
Molecule: long non-coding RNA, 216 nt
Filed under: Elaeis guineensis (African oil palm)
Lineage: Eukaryota; Viridiplantae; Streptophyta; Magnoliopsida; Arecales; Arecaceae
Description: long non-coding RNA (EGUI_LNC037596)
Source: RNAcentral